AUACGUAGGGUGCAAGCGUUAAUCGGAAUUACUGGGCGUAAAGCGUGCGCAGGCGGUUUUGUAAGACAGGGGUGGAAUCCCCGGGCUCAACCUGGGGACUGCCUUUGUGACGGCCAGGCUAGAGUACGGCAGAGGGGGAUGGAAUUCCCAGGGUAGCAGUGAAAUGCGUAGAUAUGCGGAGGAACACCGAUGGCGAAGGCAUUCCCCUAGACCAGUACUGACGCUCAUGCACGAAAGCGUGGGGAGCAAACAGGAUUAGAUACCCAGAUAGUACACGCCCGAAACGAUGCUAACAGAUUAUUGGGUCUUCAUUAACACAGUAACGAAGCUAACGCGAGAAGUUGACCGCCUGGGGAGUAAGGCCGCAAGGUGGAAACUCAAAGGAAUUGACGGGG
RNAcentral lists this ribosomal RNA (395 nucleotides) under uncultured bacterium. Its description in RNAcentral is "partial 16S ribosomal RNA". It matches the Rfam family "Bacterial small subunit ribosomal RNA", at positions 523 to 918 of the family's 1533-position model. The record is from RNAcentral.